Molecule: ribosomal RNA, 582 nt
Filed under: Triticum aestivum (bread wheat)
Lineage: Eukaryota; Viridiplantae; Streptophyta; Magnoliopsida; Poales; Poaceae
Description: partial small subunit ribosomal RNA
Source: RNAcentral
AUGUGGACCCAUCUUCGUCAGCGCUAUCAGCCCUCUGGUGAUGCCUUAUACCUUUCUGUGGUCCGUCAGGAGCAUGCUCUUCAGCAGGGUGACUCUACUGUUGAUGACUUCUAUGCACAGAGUUCUGCUAUCUGGCGCCAGCUUGAUUCUCUCCGCAGUGCUGGUUGUCGUACCUGCCCCUGUUGCCAGGCUGUCCAGGCCAAUUUGGAGUUUCAUCGCGUCUAUGAGUUCCUGUCUCGGCUCCGUAAGGAGUUUGAGCCCUGGCGUGCUCAGUUGUUUGCUCGUGGCCGUAUUUCUCUCAUGGAGGCGCUUUCUGAGAUUCGUGCUGAGGAGACUCGCUUACGUGGUGCUGGUUUGCUGGAGGUUCCCUCCGUGCUCGCUACUCGUGCUCCUACGCCACCUGCUGCACCGACCCCUUCUCGCUCGAGUGCUCCGCCGCUCUUGCCCACUCCUUCUGGAGGCUCAGGUCGCCCCCGUCCACAUUGCGACUACUGCAACAAUGAUGGUCAUCUUGAGUCUCAGUGCUACACGAAGAAGAAACACCUGCGCAAGGCGCGAUCAUCAUCUUCAGGGACUUCGUCA